This 330-nucleotide unclassified non-coding RNA is filed under the name soil metagenome. RNAcentral describes it as "partial contains 5.8S ribosomal RNA, internal transcribed spacer 2, and large subunit ribosomal RNA". The stretch from base 1 to 120 matches the Rfam family "5.8S ribosomal RNA", at positions 35 to 154 of the family's 154-position model. The record is from RNAcentral.
GAUGAAGAACGUAGCGAAAUGCGAUAAGUAAUGUGAAUUGCAGAAUUCAGUGAAUCAUCGAAUCUUUGAACGCACAUUGCGCCCCCCAGUAUUCUGGAGGGCAUGCCUGUCCGAGCGUCAUUUCAACCGUCAAGCCCCGCUUGUGUUGGGGACCUGCGUCUGACGCAGGCCCUGAAAACCAGUGGCGGGCUCGCUGUCCACACCGAGCGUAGUAGCUAAACCUCGCUCUGGAGUGGCGCGGGCGCCAGCCGUAAAACCCCCACAUAUCAAGGUUGACCUCGGAUCAGGUAGGAAUACCCGCUGAACUUAAGCAUAUCAAUAAGCGGAGGA